GAUGAAGAACGCAGCGAAAUGCGAUACGUAAUGUGAAUUGCAGAAUUCAGUGAAUCAUCGAAUCUUUGAACGCAUAUUGCGCUCUCUGGUAUUCCGGAGAGCAUGCUUGUUUGAGUAUCAGUAAACACCUCAACUCCCCUUUCUUUUUUUGAAAUGGGAGCUGGACUUGAGUGAUCCCAACGCUUUUCUCACCGAAAAGUGGCGGGUUACUUGAAAUGCAGGUGCAGCUGGACUUUUCUCUGAGCUAAAAGCAUAUCUAUUUAGUCUGCCUAAAAAACAGAUUAUUACCUUUGCUGCAGCUAACAUAAAGGAGAUUAGUUCUUGUGCUGACUGAUGCAGGAUUCACAGAGACAGCUUCGGCAGGCCUUUGUAAACUCGAUCUCAAAUCAAGUAAGACUACCCGCUGAACUUAAGCAUAUCAAUAAGCGGAGGA
RNAcentral lists this unclassified non-coding RNA (433 nucleotides) under soil metagenome. RNAcentral's name for it is "partial contains 5.8S ribosomal RNA, internal transcribed spacer 2, and large subunit ribosomal RNA". The stretch from base 1 to 120 matches the Rfam family "5.8S ribosomal RNA", at positions 35 to 154 of the family's 154-position model. The record is from RNAcentral.